GGGCGACACGGGUGACCUGUGGUGGGAUCCAACCUACGCGCGAGUGGUUCCAACUAACGCACGCCGCUCGCGAGGAUCGAGAGGGAUCGCUAGAUGGGUGGGGGACACGGGCGAUGAUGGCGCCUUAUCUUGUGGAAACUGCUCCACUCGGCCUUAAUAAACACAAUCAUACUUCAGUUUUCAUUAAGCAGGCAUUCAUGCCGGGGCCAACGUCUCUUCUGUUGCACACUUCAGUUUCCAUCUGGUGCGUGUAUACAUGCUUCCUUUCCCAGCCAUUCUUCGUUCACCCUCUCUACUCCAGUAGCACAAAAUAUUCAGCAUCAUGCUCGGGUAGAUUUCCAUGUAUUCUACCUUAUGCCCAAGUGCCGUGGAGUUUGCUGCCCCAAGGCUGAAAACAUCAAGUUCACCUUGGAGCAGAAGUUGGUGUUUUUGGCUUGAGAAUUUUUUUUUGAUGAUAGACGAUAUAACUCCAAUCAAGACUGAACUUCAAAUUAUCUGCCUAAGAACAGAUGCAGCAGCAGUUGACAUAUAUCCGAAUUGUGAUAUUUAGUUCUCGGUAAUUGUACUAUGUUAUUGCUGCAAUUCUUAUAAGUAUAAUCCCAAACCUUCCAGUUCUAGUUAAUAAUACACCAAAGGAUUUAGUAUUAAGUACAUACUAUCAUUGUACUGUAACAAUGGAUGCGCG
RNAcentral lists this ribosomal RNA (685 nucleotides) under Triticum aestivum (bread wheat). RNAcentral describes it as "partial small subunit ribosomal RNA". Lineage: Eukaryota; Viridiplantae; Streptophyta; Magnoliopsida; Poales; Poaceae. The record is from RNAcentral.